Molecule: transfer RNA, 69 nt
Filed under: Cavia porcellus (domestic guinea pig)
Lineage: Eukaryota; Metazoa; Chordata; Mammalia; Rodentia; Caviidae
Rfam family: tRNA
About the family: Transfer RNA (tRNA) molecules are approximately 80 nucleotides in length. Their secondary structure includes four short double-helical elements and three loops (D, anti-codon, and T loops).
Source: Rfam by way of RNAcentral
GGGGAUUUAGCUCAGCGGCAUAGCAUAAGUGCCUGCCUUGCAAGCAGGCAGUCGUGAGUUCAAUCCCCA